Molecule: non-coding RNA, 229 nt
Organism: Plectropomus leopardus (leopard coralgrouper)
Lineage: Eukaryota; Metazoa; Chordata; Actinopteri; Perciformes; Serranidae
Source: RefSeq, a predicted model, not a curated record
UUUUUUUUGCUACCUACAGAGUGAACACCUGUGUGCAUCUCAAAAGGAAACCGGUGGAGGAAAUUGAAAGGAAAGGAAACCAGUGUCCCCAGCGCAGUCACUGAUCCUUGCAUAAAGCUAUUUAAUCAGCCGUCUCAAGACGAAAAGGAGCAGUAGUGACAGUCUUCCGGAAAGCUCCAUGCAGCUGCAGACUCCUUGUGGCGACUGACAGCGUGAACAACAAACCCAC